RNAcentral lists this ribosomal RNA (482 nucleotides) under uncultured bacterium. RNAcentral's name for it is "partial 16S ribosomal RNA". It matches the Rfam family "Bacterial small subunit ribosomal RNA", at positions 30 to 507 of the family's 1533-position model. The record is from RNAcentral.
AUUGAACGCUGGCGGCAUGCCUUACACAUGCAAGUCGAACGGUAACAGGUCUUCGGAUGCUGACGAGUGGCGAACGGGUGAGUAAUACAUCGGAACGUGCCCGAUCGUGGGGGAUAACGAGGCGAAAGCUUUGCUAAUACCGCAUACGAUCUACGGAUGAAAGCGGGGGAUCUUCGGACCUCGCGCGGACGGAGCGGCCGAUGGCAGAUUAGGUAGUUGGUGGGAUAAAAGCUUACCAAGCCGACGAUCUGUAGCUGGUCUGAGAGGAUGAUCAGCCACACUGGGACUGAGACACGGCCCAGACUCCUACGGGAGGCAGCAGUGGGGAAUUUUGGACAAUGGGCGAAAGCCUGAUCCAGCCAUGCCGCGUGCAGGAUGAAGGCCUUUGGGUUGAAAACUGCUUUUGUACGGAACGAAAAGCCUCUUUCUAAUAAAGAGGGGUCAUGACGGUACCGUAAGAAUAAGCACCGGCUAACUACGUG